GUAGGAGGCAAGCGUUAUCCGGAUUUACUGGGCGUAAAGCGCGUGCAGGCGGUUUGGUAAGUCGGACGUGAAAGCUCCCGGCUCAACUGGGAGAGGCCGUUCGAAACUGCCAGACUAGAGGGCAGCAGAGGGAGGUGGAAUUCCGGGUGUAGCGGUGAAAUGCGUAGAUAUCCGGAGGAACACCAGUGGCGAAGGCGGCCUCCUGGACUGCCCCUGACGCUAAGACGCGAAAGCUAGGGUAGCAAACGGGAUUAGAAACCCCGGGUAGUCCUAGCUGUAAACGAUGCACACUUGGUGUUGGUGGCAUAAAACCCCAUCAGUGCCGCAGCUAACGCGAUAAGUGUGCCGCCUGGGGGACUACGGUCGCAAGGCUA
Molecule: ribosomal RNA, 374 nt
Filed under: uncultured organism
Description: partial 16S ribosomal RNA
Rfam family: Bacterial small subunit ribosomal RNA
Source: RNAcentral